Pelobates cultripes (western spadefoot toad) is the source of this 676-nucleotide non-coding RNA. The record is from the annotation of a GenBank genome assembly. Lineage: Eukaryota; Metazoa; Chordata; Amphibia; Anura; Pelobatidae.
ACACACACACAGACUGCUGAGUCCAUACACACACACACAUACAUACACACAGACUGCUGAGUCCAUGCACACACACAUAGACUGCUGAGUCCAUACACACACAUACAUACACACAGACUGCUAUGUCCAUACACACAUAUACACACACACAGAGACUGCUGAGUCCAUGCACACACACACAGACUGCCAAGUCCAUACACACUCACAGACUGCUGAGUAAAUACACACACACACACACACACAGACUCUGCCGAGUCCGUACCCACACAGACUGCUCUGUCCAUACACACACAGACUGCUGAGUCCAUACACACACACACAGACUGCUGAAUCCACACACAGACACACACUGCUGAGUCCAUAAACACACACACACACAGACUGCUGAGUCCACACACACACAUACAUACACUGCUGAGUCCAUACACACACUCACAUACUGCUGAGUCCAUACACACACACACAGACUGCUGAGUCCAUACACACACACACAGACUGCUGAGUCCAUACACACACAUACACACACACAGACUGCUGAGUCCAUGCACACACACAUAGACUGCUGAGUCCAUACACACACAUACAUACACACAGACUGCUAUGUCCAUACACACAUAUACACACACACAGAGACUGCUGAGUCCAUGCACACACACACACAGACUGCCGAGUCCAU